This is a long non-coding RNA of Eucalyptus grandis, 1330 nucleotides long. RefSeq lists it as uncharacterized. The transcript is spliced from 2 exons. NCBI's taxonomy places the organism in Eukaryota, Viridiplantae, Streptophyta, Magnoliopsida, Myrtales, Myrtaceae. The record is from RefSeq and is a predicted model, not a curated record.
UUGAGACCCAAGGGAGAGACAUCGUAGUUCUUGAUGCAUCACAAAAUCUUCUUAAACCAAAACUUUUAGACAGACGCCUGUAUUUGCUAAGGGUACUUGAUCUCGAGGGUGUUUACAAGCCUGUACUCCCUGAGAACUUUGGAAAUAUACUGUCGAACCUAAGGUAUUUGGGAUUGAGAUGGACGAUUCUGGAUUCCAUUCCAGAAUCAGUCGGGAAUCUGUUGCUCCUGGAAACAUUAGAUCUGAAGCACACCAACAUAACCAAAGUGACGAGCGCCAUUUGGAAUGCAAAGAAUCUCCGACAUCUGUACCUGAGCGAAGCAUCGUUCGGAAAGUCCAUCCCACACCAUAUUAUAUCAGGGAAGCCUCCAUAUUGUAAACUCGAGACGCUAUGGGGUCUGUUCAUAGAAACUGGUAAGAGCCCCAUGAUAAGAGUGUUGAAGAAGCUGUGAAGCCUGAAGAAGCUGGGCGUGACAUGCCGUCCCGGGGCAGUGAAGGCAGUGACCGAAUGCUUUUCGAGCCUGACCAGGCUCGAGUCCCUGAGGUUGAGAUCGAGGGACCUGUUAGGCCAGCCUGCAGUGCUCAAUUUGAGUGAAAUGAAAUGGCCCCCAUCUCUUUCAAACGUGUAUUUGCUCGGAUCAUUGGAGUCUGUUCCGAGCUUCUCGUUGGACUGUAAGAAUCUGAAAGCGCUCACCUUGUCAAUGUCAAGACUGAAAGGUGAUCCAAUGGAGGCCCUAUACGACCUGAAAGAUUUGAUUGUUCUCAGGUUAUUGGCUCGAUCGUUCACCGGCAAAAGCUUGAAUUGCAAAGCAGGUUUUCCAAAACUUCGCAUCCUAAAACUAUGGAUGCUCGAGGAAUUAGAAGUAUUGUUUGUUAAGCAAGGGGCGAUGCGUAGUCUCGAAGAGUUGGAAAUCAGGCAAUGCGAGAAGCUAGGGACGGUUGAUAGCUUGAAUCAUAGUGACAGCUUGAAAAGUGUGAGUCUUACAGGAGUUGAUGAAGACCUUGCCAAGAUAUGGAAGAAAAACUAAAAGGUCGCCAACAGACGCUGGUCAAAACAGAGUAACUGUCCAAGAAAGAGAGCCGGUAAGAAACAGAUGAGCAUCCACGUCGGUCCGGAAUCAUCAGCUUCCAAUAAUAAAAAUUAUCAUGCUCAUAAAUAAGAGGAUGUAUAUGCUUCUGUGUGCUUCAUAUAUUUCCUUCCGUAUCUCUUUCUGUGUAAUUUUCUACCUUGUAAUUCAUGGCAAAUGCUACUCUAGCCGAGAGUCUCAAAGAACUUAUCUUCUUUUGGGAUAUGUGAGUUUAAAAAUGUUAAGAGCUAGCUUGUGUUUCA